This 75-nucleotide transfer RNA is filed under the name Camelus bactrianus (Bactrian camel). It matches the Rfam family "tRNA". From Rfam's summary of the family: Transfer RNA (tRNA) molecules are approximately 80 nucleotides in length. Lineage: Eukaryota; Metazoa; Chordata; Mammalia; Artiodactyla; Camelidae. RNAcentral also lists the same sequence under 2 other names. The record is from Rfam by way of RNAcentral.
GAUGAUAUAGCUUAAAAGUGGUAGAGUGCAUGAUUAGCAUGCAUGAGGUCCUGGAUUCAACCCCCAGUACCUUCA